Molecule: non-coding RNA, 246 nt
Organism: Vicia faba (fava bean)
Lineage: Eukaryota; Viridiplantae; Streptophyta; Magnoliopsida; Fabales; Fabaceae
Source: the annotation of a GenBank genome assembly
AUGGACAAUACAAAUGCUUUCACCUUACAAUAUGGUGAAAUUUUUUCUUGGUUUGAUUGUCAUCAUCGAUUUUUACCAAUAGAUCAUCCGCUUAGAAGAAGUAAAAAGAGAUUUACAAAAAACAAGAUUCAGAAAAAAAGAUCACCUUACAUGUUUACCGGCCAUGAUGUCUGGGAAGCUGUUUGUGAUUUUCCAAAAGUCACUCAUAUUGCCUGGGCCACCAAAUUUCCAGGAUAUGGAAAAUAA